This 267-nucleotide ribosomal RNA is filed under the name Triticum aestivum (bread wheat). RNAcentral's name for it is "partial small subunit ribosomal RNA". Lineage: Eukaryota; Viridiplantae; Streptophyta; Magnoliopsida; Poales; Poaceae. The record is from RNAcentral.
CUUGUGGAGACAGGAAGACAUGCCGUCUACAAUUUGAUUGACAAACUACUUCGUUUGCUCAUUACCCUUCCAGUUUCUACAACGAGUGUCGAACGUGCAUUUUCUAGUAUGAAGAUCAUUAAGACAAGAUUAUGCAAUAAGAUGAAAGAUGAUAAUCUUGCUAAUAACUUGUUAGUUCACAUAGAGGGUGGGAUUCUAGAGAACUAUAGCCACGAAGAUGUCAUUGCAUAUUUCAUAAGCAAGAAGGAUCGGAGAGUUGAUUUCUAG